UACGGAGGGUGCAAGCGUUAAUCGGAAUUACUGGGCGUAAAGCGCACGCAGGCGGUUUGUUAAGUUAGAUGUGAAAUCCCCGGGCUCAACCUGGGAACUGCAUUCGAAACUGGCAGGCUAGAGUCUUGUAGAGGGGGGUAGAAUUCCAGGUGUAGCGGUGAGAUGCGUAGAGAUCUGGAGGAAUACCGGUGGCGAAGGCGGCCCCCUGGACAAAGACUGACGCGCGGGUGCGAAAGCGUGGGGAGCAAACGGG
RNAcentral lists this ribosomal RNA (253 nucleotides) under uncultured bacterium. RNAcentral's name for it is "partial 16S ribosomal RNA". It matches the Rfam family "Bacterial small subunit ribosomal RNA", at positions 524 to 776 of the family's 1533-position model. The record is from RNAcentral.